This 320-nucleotide ribosomal RNA is filed under the name Cystococcus campanidorsalis. Its description in RNAcentral is "partial large subunit ribosomal RNA". Lineage: Eukaryota; Metazoa; Arthropoda; Insecta; Hemiptera; Eriococcidae. The record is from RNAcentral.
UGAAACCGUUCGGGGGUAAACGGACAGAGCCCGUGAAUCUGGACGGCGGAAUUCAGGGUUGACAGGCGCCACGCGCGUCUGUCUGUCUGAUGUUUCCGUCGUCGUACAGACGUUGCGACCUGUUCGACGUCGGUCCACGCUCGGAGGAGCCGUCAUCGAGUUCGUCGCCGCGCUCGUUUCGGCGUGCGUUGGCGACGAAGGUGCGCGGAUCGCUCUGGCCGACUUGUCCGGACAGUAUAUGUGCUCACGGUGUCCGGCGUCGUUACGCUCUCGCGAGUACGCGGCGUCCGGUACCGGUCGGCGACGAUUUCGUCGGGCCU